Molecule: signal recognition particle RNA, 260 nt
Filed under: Candidatus Micrarchaeota archaeon CG1_02_55_41
Lineage: Archaea; Nanobdellati; Microcaldota
Also listed under: 3 other names
Description: signal recognition particle sRNA large type
Rfam family: Bacterial large signal recognition particle RNA
About the family: The signal recognition particle (SRP) is a universally conserved ribonucleoprotein involved in the co-translational targeting of proteins to membranes.
Source: RNAcentral
GUGGGCUAGCCGGGAGGCUAGAGGUCUCCUUUACGCCAACCCUCUUUACGGCGGGUGAAGUCCGCGAGGAGAAGCAAGCGAAUCCGCGAGGCCCUCUCCAAGGCGACGACGCUCUGCCUUGCGUUAUGCCUCGUUGUUCGAAUCGAGCCAGGCCGGAAGGAGCAACUCUAAGGACUUCAAGGUAUGCUCGCAAGAACCAGGGCCGAGCCAAGGAUUGGAUAAACCGAGCGGCUGAACAUGCCUCGAUUCGUGGAGCGCCC